RNAcentral lists this long non-coding RNA (2278 nucleotides) under Prunus persica (peach). Its description in RNAcentral is "long non-coding RNA (PPER_LNC000002)". Lineage: Eukaryota; Viridiplantae; Streptophyta; Magnoliopsida; Rosales; Rosaceae. The record is from RNAcentral.
AGACACAAAAGAUCUGUCAAACUAGAAAUGAAACAAAUUGAACGUCUUCAACAAUACCAAUAUAUACCAUCAGCUAGGGUUGGCUGAGGCAAUGUCUAGGAGUGGUCAAUUUUGUGUGAAAAAAAUAUGAGAAUCCAAAUUAGAGAUUGAGGAUUCAAGUGGACACAAAAGAUCUACUAAACCAGAAAUAAAACAAACUAAACGCCUUCAACAAUACCAGUCUAUACCAUGCGCUAGGUUGGUUGAGGCAAAGGCCGGGAGUGGUCAAUUCAAAAUGAAAAAAAUAUGACAAUUCAAAUUAGAAAUUGAGGAUUCAAGUAGACACAAAAGAUCCGCUAAAAUAUAAAUGAAACAAACUGAACGUCUUCAAUAAUACUAGUGUAUACCAUGAGCUAGGGUUGGCUGAGGCAAAGGCUAGAAGUGGUCAAUUUGAAUUGAAAAAAAUAUGAGAAUUCAAAUUAGAGAUUGAGGAUUCUAGUGGAUACAAACGAUCUGCUAAAUCAGAAAUGAAACAAACUGAACGUCUUCAACAAUACCAAUAUAUACUGUUAGCUAGGGUUGAUUGAGGCAAUGUCUAGUAGUGGUCAAUUUAAUGUGAAAAAAUAUAAGAAUUUAAAUUAGAGAUUGAGGAUUGAGAACACAAAACAUCUGCUCAAACAUUUAUGAAAAAAAAAAAAAACCUAUUCAAUAGUACCAAUCAGUACCUUGAGCUAGGGUUGGCUAAGGCAAAGGCUCAUAGUGUACAAUUUGAUGUGAAAAUUUAUGAGAAUUCAAAUUAGAGAUUGAAGAUUCAAGUGGACACUAAAGAUUUGCUAAACCAAAAAUGAAACAAACUGAACGUCUUCAACAAUACCGAUCUAUACCGUGUGCUAGGGUUGGCUGAUGCAAAGGCUAGGAGUGGUCAAUUUGAUGUCAAAAAAUAUGAGAAUUGAAAUUAGAGAUUGAGGAUUCAAUGGGACACAAAAGAUCUGCAAAACAUAAGUGAAAAAAACUAAAUUAGUUCAACAAUACCAGUGUGUACACUUAGCUAGGGUUGACUGAGGCAAAGGCUAUGAGUGGUCAAUUUAAUGGGGAAAAAUGUAAGAAUUCAAACUAGAGAUUUAGGAUUUAAGAGAAUACAAAAGAUCUGCUAAAACAUAAAUGAAAAAACUAAACUAGUUCAAUAAUACCAAUAUGUACAGUGAGCCACGGUUGGCUGAGGCAAUGGCUAGGGUGGUCAAUUUGAUGUGAAAAAAUAUAAGAAUUCAAACUAGAGAUUUAGGAUUUAAGGGAACACAAAAGAUCUGCAAAAAUAUAAAUGAAAAAAACUGAACUAGUUCAACAAUACCAAUAUGUACAGUGAGUUUCAGUUGGCUGAGGCAAUGGCUAGGGGUGGUCAAUUUGAUGUGAAAAAAUAUGAGAAUUCAAAUUAGAGAUUGAGGAUUAAAGGGGACACAAAAGAUCUACAAAAACAUAUAUGAAAAAAAUUGAACCUGUUCAACAAUACCACUUUAUACCGUGAGCCAGGGUAGGGUGAGGCAAAGGCUAGGAGAGGUCAAUUUUAUGUUAAAUAAUAUGAAAGUUGAAAUUAGAGAUUGAGGAUUCAAGUGGACGCAAAAGAUCUGCUAAAUCAGAAAUGAAAUAAACUGAACAUCUUCAACAAUUUUGAUCUAUACUGUGAGCUAGAGUUGGCUGAGGCAAAGGCUAGGAGUGGUCAAUUUGAUGUCAAAAAUUAUGAGAAUUGAAAUUAGAGAUUGAGGAUUCAAGGGGACACAAAAGAUCUGCUCAAACAUAUAUGAAAAAAAUAAAUGAAUUAGAUCAAUAAUACCAUUCUAUACCGUGAGCUAGGGUUGGCUAAGGCAAAGGCUAGGAGUGGUCAAUUUGAUGUGGAAAAAUAUGAGAAUUCAAAUUAGAGAUUGACGAUUCAAGGGGAUACAAAAGAUGUGCUAAAACAUAAAUAAAACAAACUGAACCGGUUCAGCAAUAUCUGUCUGUACCAUCAGCUAAUGUUGGGUGCUGCAAAGGCUCGGAGUGGUAAAUUUGAUGUGAAAAAAUAUGAGAAUUCAAAUUAGAGAUUGAGGAUUAAAUGGGACACAAAAGAUCUGUUAAAAAUUAAAUGAAAAAAAAAAAACUAAACAAGUUCAACAAUACUAGUCUAUACCGUGAGUUAUGGUUGGCUGAGACAAACGCUAUGAGUGUUCAAUUUUGAUGUGAAAAAAAAAUAUAUAUGAGAAUUCAAAUUAGAGAUUGAGGAUGCAGUGAGACACAAAAGAUCUGCUAAAACAUAAAGGAAAUAAAC